RNAcentral lists this long non-coding RNA (710 nucleotides) under Medicago truncatula (barrel medic). Its description in RNAcentral is "lncRNA gene42076". The record is from RNAcentral. Lineage: Eukaryota; Viridiplantae; Streptophyta; Magnoliopsida; Fabales; Fabaceae.
CUUGGAUCCCCCCCUCCCCGAUGGAAAGAAAAUGUUUCACUCGACCGACCGACCCAUCAACCAACCUCAUAAUAAUAAUUUAAUUUCUUGUUGUCAAUCGGGAACAAUUACGCAAACACAAUACAAAAACAACAACGGGAACAAGUAACAGAAGAAAUAUAAUGUAGAUUUAUUUAUAAAUUACAUUUACAUAUGAAGAAGAGACAUAAACACAACAGAAAUUAAACGACAAAAAAGCUAAGAUGUUCAAUCUGAGUGUUGAGGAAUAGGAGGAUAACCCAGGUAAGAAGAAAGGGAGAAGAAGAAACGUUGGAAAGGAAGACAAAAGAUGAGACCCAAAACGGCGUCGCUGCUCAACAUCUCAGGAUUACACGCUAUGUAUUGACACAACCUAGCUGACACGUGCGCCACCCUCAUCACCACACCGCUGUUCAGUACCAUCCUUCCUUCUACGUUCUUUGUACUUUGAUUGAUGUUAUUGCAGUCAGUUAGAUCUAACAACAACAGAUAUGCGUCUUGUGUUGUACUUUGUUUCUUUUGUGAUCCAAAUUCAAACAUUGGACGUUUCUAUUUAUUGGAUGAUACCAACAAACAAUGAUAUUAUUAUUGACUAAAUAGUCAAUUUCCCCCCUCAAAUUGUAAGUUUCAUCAAUUAUCCUUUUGAAAUUAACAAAAUUUCAAUUACCCCCUAAAAUUGCAUAACGUUAAUC